This 513-nucleotide ribosomal RNA is filed under the name uncultured bacterium. Its description in RNAcentral is "partial 16S ribosomal RNA". It matches the Rfam family "Bacterial small subunit ribosomal RNA", at positions 28 to 507 of the family's 1533-position model. The record is from RNAcentral.
GACGAACGCUGGCGGCGUGCUUAACACAUGCAAGUCGAACGAAAAGAGGGAAAGAGCUUGCUCUUUCCGGAAUUGAGUGGCAAACGGGUGAGUAACACGUAAACAACCUGCCUUCAGGAUGGGGACAACAGACGGAAACGACUGCUAAUACCGAAUAAGUUCCAAGGGCCGCAUGGCCCAUGGAAGAAAAGGUGGCCUCUACCUGUAAGCUAUCGCCCGAAGAGGGGUUUGCGUCUGAUUAGCUGGUUGGAGGGGUAACGGCCCACCAAGGCGACGAUCAGUAGCCGGUCUGAGAGGAUGAACGGCCACACUGGAACUGAGACACGGUCCAGACUCCUACGGGAGGCAGCAGUGGGGAAUCUUCCGCAAUGGGCGAAAGCCUGACGGAGCAACGCCGCGUGAGUGAUGACGGCCUUCGGGUUGUAAAACUCUGUGAUCCGGGACGAAAAGGCAGAGUGCGAAGAACAAACUGCAUUGACGGUACCGGAAAAGCAAGCCACGGCUAACUACGUG